Molecule: long non-coding RNA, 474 nt
Organism: Chinchilla lanigera (long-tailed chinchilla)
Lineage: Eukaryota; Metazoa; Chordata; Mammalia; Rodentia; Chinchillidae
Exons: 4
Source: RefSeq, a predicted model, not a curated record
GCUUGCUUCAGUAUGGAAUGUCAGGAAAACGUCAGAGAGAUUGUCCCGUUUCAGCAAUUUUGUUAAAAUGCUAAGAAUCGGGAGAUGACUGCAUGAUCACAUUGCUGGCUGUGAGAAGGGAUGAGAUUCUAUUAAGAGAGGAGGAAAGCAAUGUUACUCAUUCCCAUUGCGCAGAAUGAGGAAUUCUCAAAAGAGAAAUGGACACAAAAGUACCUCCUGCGAGAGAUGCCAAGUUCUGGACACAGGCAAAAUAAAGGAAGACUUUGUUAGAGAGAGCAGAUGGCAAGCAAGAGGAAUGGCCAACAUCUGGGCAGUGAGAGACCCAUGAGGGAAGAGGGCAAAUGAGAAAAGAAGAAUAACACAUAAACCUAGUAGUAGGAAGCAUCAUUGUUCCACCAUGAUCUUCUGCAUGGUGAUUCUUCCUUCAAGCUAGCCAUCCAUGGACUGACUCUCCUGAAACUGUGAACAAAAUUA